Molecule: ribosomal RNA, 229 nt
Filed under: uncultured bacterium
Lineage: Bacteria
Description: partial 16S ribosomal RNA
Rfam family: Bacterial small subunit ribosomal RNA
Source: RNAcentral
UGCGUAGGCGGACUAAUAAGUCAGUGGUGAAAUCUCUCGGCUCAACCGGGAAACUGCCAUUGAUACUGUUAGUCUUGAGUUCGGUUGAGGUAGGCGGAAUGUGUAAUGUAGCGGUGAAAUGCUUAGAUAUUACACAGAACACCAAUUGCGUAGGCAGCUUACUAGACCGUCACUGACGCUGAGGCACGAAAGCGUGGGUAGCGAACAGGAUUAGAUACCCUGGUAGUCC